UAUUCCAAAAAAUAGCAAAGUGGCUUUCAAGUUACAAUCACAAUCAUACCCUUUUUAAAGAGUGACGCUAUUUUCACUUGGAAAAUCAGUGGUGUAAAAUGUAAAUCAUCAAAGGUGUUUUACAUAGCUUAUGUUUAUGUUUUAAAAUACUUUUUAAGAAUAUUUUUAGUUUUAUAAAAUAUUAAAUUAAUUUUUUUAGUAUUUUUAAUGUGCUGGAAUAAAAAAAAUAAAAGAAUUAUUUUAAUAUAUUUUUAAAAAUAAAAUUAUUUUUAAAAAAUACUAUACAUUAUUUUUUAUAAGAUUAUCAUGAUAAAAAUAUUUAUCAUUAAAUUGAUUCCUUCCUCGUAUACUCUACUACAAACUCUAGGAGUGAUAGUAAGGAUAGAAGGAAUAUGGGGGUUCUUUACAUGCGGGAAGAGACAGGAAACAAGAGAGACAAGCCUCUCCAUGGAUCUUUUGUUGCAGCAGUCCUUAAAGACUUAUUUGGUAUUCAAGCUCGUGAUGGGUGUGCUUGUGCUGGUCCUUAUGGUCAUACUUUGCUCCAUGCAAUGAGGGCUCCUCCCUUGCCAUUAGAUCUACCAUUGAAGAGGGUUAUGUUGGGGUAAAGCCAGGACGAACAAGAGUGAGCUUCCCUUGCUACAUGUCCGAUGAGGAAUUCAAGUUCAUUCUUACAGCUAUCGAGUUUAUAGCCAUUUACGGCCAGAGAUUUCUUCCACUGUAUCACUUCAACUGGAAAACUGGCAGUUGGACUUACAAGACAAAGGGAUUGAAGGACCUGAUGGGUAGAGAAAGCAGUGGCAAUAUUCAUUUUCUUGCCAUUGGAAAAUACUAAACAUCCUGGGAUUGUCAAUAUAAGGGGCCUCGAGUUCAACAGCCUUGAAUCUGCAGAUGAUGUCGUUCACAGAAGUAAUUACAAAGGGGACGCAACAGCGAGUCCUUCUAUAAUGAAAACUAGUGAUGGACAAGUCAACUGGCUUGUUGCAUCGACUUAUAAUGGGAUGGUAGCAAAUUGAAGAUGAUUCACAAAUUCACCAAUUUGUUUAAUUCUGGUAAGCUUUGACUUGCUAAGAUUCAAAUAAUUGAUCUGCCUAGAUAUCUAAACUGAUAGCAACCAAUUAAAAAUCGACCACUGAAAAAAGUCUUUCCAUUUCCCACUUCCAUGCUGGCCCGUGUAGUAAUCAUAGCAUCCAGCAACAGUUGAUACUGAACAAAUUGUCGGCUGAUGGAUUCACAAUUAGCACCUGUAUCUUUGAGAUUGACUGAAUUCAACCCUUUCUCAGAUUUGACAAUCCUGCUUAAUCUUGGAAAAUUAUGAUAAUAAUGCAAGUAAAAGACCUGUUACCGUGGAGACAUAGCCUUUGUGAGAUUGCAAGUCCACCUGCACAUAGGAGCUGAGAGUCUCAGACCAACAUAUUAGUGGCAUGUCUUUUGAGUAUACAAAAAUAAUGUGCUGCUACUGUUUCAACAGAAAAGAAGCUUCAAUCAUAUUGUAGAAAAAGAUAAACAGCCACAAAGUUAGCGAACAAGACUGUGGCAGCAGGACCAUAAACUGUCACCAAGAAAAAGAAAAAUGCUCAGCGGAUAUCAUAACAACAAAGUUGUUUCUAUAUCAACAUGCUUGAUUCCUAUUCCAUGCAACACUUAACUUGGUUUGACAACUUGUCCAGCCCAAGUAUGUGCUCACUAAUUAUGUUCUUGGGGGAAGACAGUGAACCCAACUUCCAGGUUGAUCCAGCCUCUGGCAAGCGUGGAGGAUUCAAGGGUGGUGGAGCUUGCUGAUGAUUUUUCAAGACUUUAUGCUACUUAUCAAAACAAGGAUAAGAUUUUACAAAAUAAACUCUUAGAAAAUGCCAGUGGUUCAAACCAGAAUUUCCUACUACAAUUACAGAGCAAUAAUAAAUAACAGAAAGUGGUUUAGUUUUAUUUCC
Molecule: long non-coding RNA, 1928 nt
Organism: Populus trichocarpa (black cottonwood)
Lineage: Eukaryota; Viridiplantae; Streptophyta; Magnoliopsida; Malpighiales; Salicaceae
Exons: 2
Source: RefSeq, a predicted model, not a curated record